RNAcentral lists this ribosomal RNA (460 nucleotides) under uncultured bacterium. Its description in RNAcentral is "partial 16S ribosomal RNA". It matches the Rfam family "Bacterial small subunit ribosomal RNA", at positions 338 to 795 of the family's 1533-position model. The record is from RNAcentral.
CCUACGGGGGGCAGCAGUGAGGAAUAUUGGUCAAUGGGCGGAAGCCUGAACCAGCCAAGUCGCGUGAGGGAUUAAGGCCCUGCGGGUCGUAAACCUCUUUUGCCGGGGAGCAGAGGUCCGGACGUGUCCGGGCCGGGAGAGUACCCGGAGAAAAAGCAUCGGCUAACUCCGUGCCAGCAGCCGCGGUAAUACGGAGGAUGCGAGCGUUAUCCGGCUUUAUUGGGUUUAAGGGAUGCGUAGGCGGGCAUUUAAGCCGGCGGUCAAAUGUCGGGGCUCAACCCCGGCCUGCCGGCUGCACUGGGUGCCUUGAGUGGGCGAGAAGUAUGCGGAAUGCGUGGUGUAGCGGUGAAAUGCAUAGAUAUCACGCAGAACCCCGAUUGCGAAGGCAGCAUACCGGCGCCCUACUGACGCUGAGGCACGAAAGUGCGGGUAUCGAACAGGAUUAGAUACCCCAGUAGUC